This 253-nucleotide ribosomal RNA is filed under the name uncultured bacterium. RNAcentral's name for it is "partial 16S ribosomal RNA". It matches the Rfam family "Bacterial small subunit ribosomal RNA", at positions 524 to 776 of the family's 1533-position model. The record is from RNAcentral.
UACGGAGGGUGCAAGCGUUAUCCGGAUUCACUGGGUUUAAAGGGAGCGUAGGUGGGUUGGUAAGUCCGUGGUGAAAUCUCCGAGCUUAACUUGGAAACUGCCAUGGAUACUAUCAGUCUUGAAUAUUGUGGAGGUCAGCGGAAUAUGUCAUGUAGCGGUGAAAUGCUUAGAUAUGACAUAGAACACCAAUUGCGAAGGCAGCUUACUACACAGUUAUUGACGCUGAGGCACGAAAGCGUGGGGAUCAAACAGG